This 253-nucleotide ribosomal RNA is filed under the name uncultured bacterium. RNAcentral's name for it is "partial 16S ribosomal RNA". It matches the Rfam family "Bacterial small subunit ribosomal RNA", at positions 524 to 776 of the family's 1533-position model. The record is from RNAcentral.
UACGGAGGGUGCAAACGUUGCUCGGAAUCAUUGGGCGUAAAGCGCACGUAGGCGGUCUUUUAAGUCGGAUGUGAAAGCCCCAGGCUCAACCUGGGAAGUGCAUUCGAAACUGAAAGGCUGGAGUACGGAAGAGGGUCUCGGAAUUCCCGGUGUAGAGGUGAAAUUCGUAGAUAUCGGGAGGAACACCAGUGGCGAAGGCGGAGACCUGGGCCGAUAUUGACGCUGAGGUGCGAAAGCGUGGGGAGCAAACAGG